RNAcentral lists this long non-coding RNA (1178 nucleotides) under Gallus gallus (chicken). RNAcentral's name for it is "lncRNA (ENSGALG00010003462.1)". The record is from RNAcentral. Lineage: Eukaryota; Metazoa; Chordata; Aves; Galliformes; Phasianidae.
CCGGGGAGGCGAUGCCCGGCCCCGGGGCCCCUCGCCCUUAUCGGACGCCGCUCCCGCAGCACGGGGUCGGCGCUGCCCCUCCGGCCGGGGCUCCCCGCGGGGCGGCUCCCGGCCCUUCUCCUCCCCGGGGGUGUCCGCCGGUCGGCCGAGGCGAGAGGAUCCAACAAUAAAGUAGAUUGAAAUAAGUCUGCGGUUGAGCGGCAACGUGAGGCCGGGAGGAAGCACGCUGCUGCCGUGCGAAAUGCGGACCAUGUGUGGGAGCGAUGUGCCCGGCGGCACACGGCGGCGAGGGACGGGGCAGGGCCGGGCCGGGCCGGGCCCCUCUGCUGUGUGCCGCCGUCCCGGGGUCGUACGGCACAGCCGGCGCGAUACCGACUUAUGGCCGUGCGCCGUUCCCGUGAUGGUCGGGAUCCUUUCGGUCUGAGGCUUUCGCGACGUGCUUUGUGUUCGCCCACCUCGAGGCUCUGCGGGCAAAGGGUUAAAUCUUCGGAGGGCUGGAAGGAAGCAGCCGAGUUUCAGCAAAGAAGAAAAAAAAAAGAAAAGGAAAAUAAAGAAAGGUGGGGGAGAAGAAAGGAGUGGGAGCGGGGAGAGGCGAGGGCCGCACGAUGCCCUGAUCAUCCCUCUGGCUGCCGGAGAAUAAUAAUUAAUCCCAAUCGUAACCCGCGGCCUUUCUCUCCUAUUGGGCUCCGCCAGGAAGCGCCUCCGGCCCUGGGGCUCUCCGUUCCCUCUCCGCCCCCCCCUCCCCGUCCUUUCCUCGGGCAGAGAGAGGAGAAAGGGCCGCGCUGCCCACCGCCGCCCGCGCUCCUCCGAUCGCCGCGCACAGCUGUGGCAGCGCGGUGCCUCUUCCAGCGCUCGCUCCUCUCUCCCGGCUCCGGCUCGGCACCCUCCUCCUCCUCCCCCUUUGUUCUCCCCCCCCCCCCCCCCCCUCCGCCUUUCCCUCUCUUUAAAUAGAUUUCAAGGCGCUGCCUGCUGGAGAGCGGCUCUCCGGAGAGCGCAGCUAUCGCUUCCCCGCCGCUAACCUCCCCCUUUCCUCCGCUCUCCGAGCACAACGCGAUCCCGUGGCCGAGCAACCUGCGCUGGGAAAGAUAGAGAAAAGCACAACCGGCCCCCCCCGGGUCGUGCGCGACCGCGUGCAAAGGGAGGGCUCGCGUUGACCCUCCCGAACGCAGAGGGCCGAG